Non-coding RNA from Odocoileus virginianus texanus, 1478 nucleotides. Lineage: Eukaryota; Metazoa; Chordata; Mammalia; Artiodactyla; Cervidae. The record is from RefSeq and is a predicted model, not a curated record.
AGGACAGGAUCUGGCGCACAGUAAGCCUUCACUUCAUAUUAUAGUUUCUAUUUGAAGAGUUUGCCCUGAUUUUACUUUGGGAAAGGACCUUCCCAUAUUUUGAGGCCAAGGUCACAGGACCCAGGACACUGGCUGGAACGGCUGGAGGACGGACUAGCCUGCCACUGGGGGCCUAGCAUUGCAGCAGCUGACCAUCUUGGACACUACAAGGAAAGAACUCACAGACAAAGGACGGUAAGAGAGUGAGAAUGGAAGGGAGAGAGAAAGAGGUGGGUGGGGAGAGCACUGGAUGAGUCCACUCCCAAAUGCUGAUGAAAUAACAGUAGGUGGGGAGGGCACUGGAUGAGUCCACUCCCAAAUGCUGAUGAAAUAACAUGUGACUCUGAAUCUUCUUGUUCUUCUCAGUUACAGGACCCAGUGAUUUUCUCCUUCACUUAUGCCAAUUUGACUAGGUUCCUGUCACUUGCAACUUGAAGAAUCCUGACAUGAUCUGAUACAGCACAUUAAGACUCCACCUCUCUGGACACUGAUACCAGGAAUGCUCCCUUUCUCAAGGUUAGGCCAACUCCUCAGGCACAGCUCUGCCUACCUCAGUCUCCUUCUUGAGAACUUUUCUUCUUGUCACAGACCAUGCCACAGCCCCAUGGACCCUAGUAUCAUGGAGUUUCUUCAUAUGGAAGCAUAAGGGGUCUUCAACUCAGCACCUCAAAGCAUUUUACACAUCAAUCACCAACUGGAGCAGCUGAGGGGGUGGAGCUGUGGAAAAUAUUCAAAUUAACAACCUUGUCUUCCACUAAGACUACAGAACUGAUGCUAGACAAAGAGCAAAUUUGAAGGAUUUUCUUACUUGAGUUCAAAAUGGGUCAUAAAGCAGCAGAGAAAACUCACAACAUCAACAACACAUUUGGCCCAGGAACCGCUAAUGAAUGUACAGUGCAGUGGUGGUAUAAGAAGUUUUGCAAAGGAGACAAGAGGCUUAAAGAUGAGAAGCAUAGUGGCCAGCCAUCAGAAGUUGACAACAACCAACUGAGAGGAUCAUCAAAGCUGACCCUCUUACAGCUACACGAGAAGUUGCCGAAGAACUCCGUGUCAACCAUUUUACAGUCACUGAGCAUUUGAAGCAAACUGGAAAGGUGAAGGAGCUCAACAAGUGGGUGUCCCAUGAGCUGUGCAUGCAAAAGCUCAGUCGCUUCAACCAUGUCCAACUCUGGGUGACCCUGUGGACUUUAGCCUGCCAGGCUCCUCUGUCCAUGGGGCUCUCCAGGGCAAGAAUGCUGGAGUGGAUUGCCAUGCCCUCCUCAAAUGAGAAGGGGAAUGGACCUCAAAUCAAAAGAAACGCUGUUUUUGAAGGGUUGUCCUCUCUUAUUCUACACAACAAUGAACCAUUUCUCUACUGGAUUGUGAUGUGCGAUGAAAAGUGGAUUGUACAUAACGACCAGCCCAGUGGUUGGACUGAGAAGAAGCUCCAAAGCACUUCC